Molecule: ribosomal RNA, 557 nt
Filed under: uncultured soil bacterium
Lineage: Bacteria
Description: bacterial SSU rRNA
Rfam family: Bacterial small subunit ribosomal RNA
Source: RNAcentral
GCUGGCGGCGUGCCUAACACAUGCAAGUCGAGCGAGAUCCAUCCAGUGGCAACACUGGUGAAGAUCUAGCGGCGAACGGGUGAGUAACACGUGAGAAACCUGCCCCGGAGACCGGGAUAACCCGAGGAAACUCGAGCUAAUACCGGAUACCCCCAUCUCAUCGCAUGUUGAGAUGAGGAAAUGCUCCGACGCUCCGGGAGGGUCUCGCGGCCUAUCAGGUAGUUGGUGAGGUAACGGCUCACCAAGCCGAAGACGGGUAGCUGGUCUGAGAGGACGAUCAGCCACACUGGGACUGAGACACGGCCCAGACUCCUACGGGAGGCAGCAGUGGGGAAUCUUGCGCAAUGGGCGAAAGCCUGACGCAGCAACGCCGCGUGCGGGAUGAAGGCUCUCGGGUUGUAAACCGCUUUCAGGAGGGACGAAAAUGACGGUACCUCCAGAAGAAGCCCCGGCCAACUACGUGCCAGCAGCCCGCGGUAACACGUAGGGGGCGAGCGUUGUCCGGAUUUAUUGGGCGUACAGAGCUCGUAGGCGGUUCGGCAAGUCGGGUGUGAAAU